RNAcentral lists this ribosomal RNA (231 nucleotides) under uncultured bacterium. RNAcentral's name for it is "partial 16S ribosomal RNA". It matches the Rfam family "Bacterial small subunit ribosomal RNA", at positions 15 to 248 of the family's 1533-position model. The record is from RNAcentral.
GAUCAUGGCUCAGAUUGAACGCUGGCGGCAUGCCUUACACAUGCAAGUCGAACGGCAGCACGGGAGCAAUCCUGGUGGCGAGUGGCGAACGGGUGAGUAAAGUAUCGGAACGUGCCCAGUCGUGGGGGAUAACGUAGCGAAAGUUACGCUAAUACCGCAUACGAUCUAUGGAUGAAAGCGGGGGAUCGCAAGACCUCGCGCGAUUGGAGCGGCCGAUAUCAGAUUAGGUAG